This 249-nucleotide long non-coding RNA is filed under the name Salvia miltiorrhiza (redroot sage). RNAcentral's name for it is "long non-coding RNA (SMIL_LNC004373)". Lineage: Eukaryota; Viridiplantae; Streptophyta; Magnoliopsida; Lamiales; Lamiaceae. The record is from RNAcentral.
UACAUAAAACUUAAUAAAAUAAAAACAAAUCCUACAAAUAACUAUUCCGGCCCUAGAGGACCGAAACGUGCCCAAACAUGCUCCAUCAAAUCAUAUUGGAGCGCGGCGUGCAACUGCCUAUCUCGGAGAAGGGUAUCUCUUUGCACAUAUUCCUCGAAGGAAACUGGGGUUGCUCGACCACUCUCCGUCGAGUCACUGCUAGACGCCCCAUGUCCCGCGUCGUCAUCUCUCCAAUUGGUUGCUCCUUCA